GUCUUGUAACACGGACCAAGGAGUCUAACAUGUAUGCGAGUUGGUGGGUGGAAAACCCAUGAAGCGCAAGUAACCUGACUGGUGGGAGGGCCUGUGCCCGCACCAUCGACCGACCAUGAUCUUCUGUGAAAGGUUUGAGUACGAGCAUACCUGUUGGGACCCGAAAGAUGGUGAACUAUGCCUGAGCAGGGCGAAGCCAGAGGAAACUCUGGUGGAGGCUCGUAGAUGUGCUGACGUGCAAAUCGCUUUUCGGACUUGGGUAUAGGGGCGAAAGACUAA
This 279-nucleotide ribosomal RNA is filed under the name Minutocellus polymorphus. Its description in RNAcentral is "partial Eukaryotic large subunit ribosomal RNA". It matches the Rfam family "Eukaryotic large subunit ribosomal RNA", at positions 651 to 934 of the family's 3401-position model. The record is from RNAcentral. Lineage: Eukaryota; Bacillariophyta; Thalassiosirophyceae; Cymatosirales; Cymatosiraceae.